GUCCGAUUUGAAAGAUGCCGCUGUUCACUGUCGAGGCCCGACUGCUGAGAUUCUAGGGAGUGAUGUCAAGGAAGGAGGCCAGGUUAUGGGUGUGUGCAUACUCCUCCUUGAAAAUAAGCUUACUGAAGAUCGAGCUAAGUUGGAUGAGAGAGAAUCUCAAGAUGACUGAAUCCAUUAUUCAAAGCAUAUAAUUACUCGGAGCAUUCAGAUAUGGAAUGCAGAUGAGCGAGGCUCAAGCAGAGAGACACCAUCGGCUUGCCGAGUUAUCAUGAUAGGCAAAAAAGAGAGGCUCAAGAGAUACCAGUGAAUUAUCAAAAAAAUAUCCGGAGGAUGACAGAUGGAUACUGCAAACGGGAGAUUCUUUCGCCUCUUAUUGGUAGAAUGAUAUGGAAGGCGGAUAAAUGAGUCUCAAGAGAUUAUGCAGGAACAGAUACAUAGAGAAAACAUUGGGUGGUAGUAGAGAGAAGCCUGAGAACGUGCGGUCGAGUUAUCUUGAUAGGAAAAAAAGAGAAGCUCAGGAGUCACCAGUGAAUUAUCAACAGAAUCUGUAAGAUUAGAGACAGUUUGAUACUGCAACUAGGGAUAUUCUUUCUUGUCUUGCAAGGAGAUUGGUAAGCUAAUUGAGUAAGAUCUGACUGUGUAUAAGAACACGCAGAUGAGAAACGAAGUAGUUCUAAUCAUAGUCUUUAACAAAAACUUGGAAUAAAAAGAGCAGUGGGUGAUGGAAUUUAAGAGGAGACAGAGUAUAGACACACCAAAUAGAACAGUCAAAUGAUUUCU
Long non-coding RNA from Raphanus sativus (radish), 780 nucleotides. RefSeq lists it as uncharacterized. The transcript is spliced from 4 exons. The record is from RefSeq and is a predicted model, not a curated record. Lineage: Eukaryota; Viridiplantae; Streptophyta; Magnoliopsida; Brassicales; Brassicaceae.